GGGUUGUGAGGUUAAGCGACUAAGCGUACACGGUGGAUGCCCUGGCAGUCAGAGGCGAUGAAGGGCGUGCUAAUCUGCGAUAAGCGCCGGUAAGGUGAUAUGAACCGUUAUAACCGGCGAUACCCGAAUGGGGAAACCCAGUGUGAUUCGUCACACUAUCAUUAACUGAAUCCAUAGGUUAAUGAGGCGAACCGGGGGAACUGAAACAUCUAAGUACCCCGAGGAAAAGAAAUCAACCGAGAUUCCCCCAGUAGCGGCGAGCGAACGGGGAGGAGCCCAGAGCCUGAAUCAGCAUGUGUGUUAGUGGAAGCGUCUGGAAAGGCGCGCGAUACAGGGUGACAGCCCCGUACACAAAAGCGCAUAUGCUGUGAGCUCGAUGAGUAGGGCGGGACACGUGGUAUCCUGUCUGAAUAUGGGGGGACCAUCCUCCAAGGCUAAAUACUCCUGACUGACCGAUAGUGAACCAGUACCGUGAGGGAAAGGCGAAAAGAACCCCGGCGAGGGGAGUGAAAAAGAACCUGAAACCGUGUACGUACAAGCAGUGGGAGCCCCACCACUAAGCCAGUGGUGAACUCCACAUACGCAUCCUUUGCUGAGGAUACGGUUAACGGAGCGAAAGCGACGUUCAACCUCAAAAGAAGCAGAGGGGGCUUAGUGGUGGGGUGACUGCGUACCUUUUGUAUAAUGGGUCAGCGACUUAUAUUCUGUAGCAAGGUUAACCGAAUAGGGGAGCCGGAGGGAAACCGAGUCUUAAUUGGGCGUUAAGUUGCAGGGUAUAGACCCGAAACCCGGUGAUCUAGCCAUGGGCAGGUUGAAGGUUGGGUAACACUAACUGGAGGACCGAACCGACUAAUGUUGAAAAAUUAGCGGAUGACCUGUGGCUGGGGGUGAAAGGCCAAUCAAACCGGGAGAUAGCUGGUUCUCCCCGAAAGCUAUUUAGGUAGCGCCUCGUGAAUUCAUCUCCGGGGGUAGAGCACUGUUUCGGCUAGGGGGCCAUCCCGGCUUACCAACCCGAUGCAAACUGCGAAUACCGGAGAAUGUUAUCACGGGAGACACACGGCGGGUGCUAACGUCCGUCGUGAAGAGGGAAACAACCCAGACCGCCAGCUAAGGUCCCAAAGUCAUGGUUAAGUGGGAAACGAUGUGGGAAGGCCCAGACAGCCAGGAUGUUGGCUUAGAAGCAGCCAUCAUUUAAAGAAAGCGUAAUAGCUCACUGGUCGAGUCGGCCUGCGCGGAAGAUGUAACGGGGCUAAACCAUGCACCGAAGCUGCGGCAGCGA
RNAcentral lists this ribosomal RNA (1279 nucleotides) under Salmonella enterica subsp. enterica serovar Newport. RNAcentral's name for it is "bacterial LSU rRNA". It matches the Rfam family "Bacterial large subunit ribosomal RNA", at positions 1 to 1211 of the family's 2925-position model. Lineage: Bacteria; Pseudomonadati; Pseudomonadota; Gammaproteobacteria; Enterobacterales; Enterobacteriaceae. The record is from RNAcentral.